UGCCUCAGCCAGGUCCCCUGGGGCGAGUGCCUGGCAGGCCUCAGUACUCUGGAGAAGGCAGGAAGCACACAGGUGGUGCUAAGAGCUUACUGUGUGCCGGGUGCCAGCAGCUGAUGCAGGGCUUACCCAGUGAAAGAAGAAACAGCCCGUGCCUAGAGAAGCUCACAGUUUAACAGCGAGACAGAUGUGCAAACAAAUAUCUGUGUUAAGUUUUGUAAUUAUAGUGCAUACAACGGUUACAGGAAGAUAGAAGAAGGAGAAAAUAGUCAAUGUAUUUAACCAUCCUAGCAACCCUGGGAGACAGAAAUUGUUGGCUCAUUUUCACAGAUGAGGAAACUGAGCUAAAAACUCUUCAUGAAAUCUACAUGGAUGAUGACAUGCAGGAAGAAUCAUAAGCCAUUUCUACUCAGAGUUCACCAUAUCAUUAAGAAUGAUCAGAAUGACUGUGAAGCACUGGAAAAUUCCUAAACAUGAGAAAAAGAAGACAAUUUAGAGUUUGUUUAUCAAAGCAUCCAGCCCUCCUCAGCAGAAGUAACUGAAGCAAGGCACCUGUGAACUCUGCCUCCCUGGCUCAGAAGCCAGUGCUGACCAGGUCUUCAGAUUUGGACCAAAAUCGAUACCAUCAGCUCUCCCACUCUCAGCCCUUCAAACGACACUGCUGGCUUUCCUGGGUCUCCAGCUUCCAGACAGCAGAUCUUGUGACUUAGCCUCCAUAAUUGUGUGAGCCAGUAGCUUAUAAUAAAUCUCUUAAUCUCUGUCUCUCAA
Molecule: long non-coding RNA, 765 nt
Organism: Macaca mulatta (Rhesus monkey)
Lineage: Eukaryota; Metazoa; Chordata; Mammalia; Primates; Cercopithecidae
Source: RefSeq, a predicted model, not a curated record